RNAcentral lists this ribosomal RNA (450 nucleotides) under uncultured Glomus. Its description in RNAcentral is "SSU rRNA". It matches the Rfam family "Eukaryotic small subunit ribosomal RNA", at positions 569 to 1023 of the family's 1831-position model. Lineage: Eukaryota; Fungi; Glomeromycota; Glomeromycetes; Glomerales; Glomeraceae. The record is from RNAcentral.
AGCAGCCGCGGUAAUUCCAGCUCCAAUAGCGUAUAUUAAAGUUGUUGCAGUUAAAAAGCUCGUAGUUGAAUUUCGGGAUCAGUAUGUCGGUCGUGCUUCGGUACGUACUGUCAUUACUGGUUUCUCCCUUCUGACGAACCAUGAUGUCAUUAAUUUGGUGUCUUGGGAAAUCAGGACUGUUACUUUGAAAAAAUUAGAGUGUUUAAAGCAGGCAUACGCUUGAAUACAUUAGCAUGGAAUAAUGAAAUAGGACGUUUGAUUCUAUUUUUGUUGGUUUCUAGGAUCGACGUAAUGAUUAAUAGGGAUAGUUGGGGGCAUUAGUAUUCAAUUGUCAGAGGUGAAAUUCUUGGAUUUAUUGAAGACUAACUACUGCGAAAGCAUUUGCCAAGGAUGUUUUCAUUAAUCAAGAACGAAAGUUAGGGGAUCGAAGACGAUCAGAUACCGUCGUAG